CACCGGAGGGGGGCGCCCGCGCUUGUCUUCAAGCUGGAUUUCGCUAAGGCGUUCGACUCCAUCGCCUGGCCGAGCCUUCGACGGAUCAUGGAGGUCCGGGGGUUCCCGGCUCUCUGGUGUGAUUGGAUGGACCUCAUCCUCCGUUCCUCCAAGGCCGCGGUCCUCCUCAACGCCGUGCCGGGGCGCUGGUUCGUGGUUCGGAAAGGGAUGUGCCAGGGAGACCCCAUCUCUCCGUACCUGUUCCUCUUGGUCGCGGACGUUCUCCAACGCAUGAUCAGGGGCGACGGGGCUCUUUGUCACCCCUAG
This 306-nucleotide ribosomal RNA is filed under the name Triticum aestivum (bread wheat). RNAcentral describes it as "partial small subunit ribosomal RNA". The record is from RNAcentral. Lineage: Eukaryota; Viridiplantae; Streptophyta; Magnoliopsida; Poales; Poaceae.